AUACGGAGGGUCCGAGCGUUAUCCGGAAUCAUUGGGUUUAAAGGGUCCGUAGGCGAGAAUCUAAGUCAGUGGUGAAAUCUUGCAGCUCAACUGUAAAAUUGCCAUUGAUACUGGAUUUCUUGAAUUAGUGUGAAGUGGUUAGAAUGUGUAGUGUAGCGGUGAAAUGCAUAGAUAUUACACAGAAUACCAAUUGCGAAGGCAGAUCACUAACACUAUAUUGACGCUGAGGGACGAAAGCGUGGGGAGCGAACAGGAUUAGAAACCCCGGUAGUCC
Molecule: ribosomal RNA, 274 nt
Filed under: uncultured bacterium
Lineage: Bacteria
Description: partial 16S ribosomal RNA
Rfam family: Bacterial small subunit ribosomal RNA
Source: RNAcentral